UAGGGCACUGGAAGGUCCCUAAACCGAAAGGGGCUCUGCCCGCCCGAGGAUGGGCCGGCGGCCGAUUAGGUAGUUGGUGGGGUAACGGCCCACCAAGCCCAUAAUCGGUACGGGCAGUGAGAGCUGGAGCCCGGAGAUGGACACUGAGACACGGGUCCAGGCCCUACGGGGCGCAGCAGGCGCGAAACCUCCGCAAUGCUCGAAAGAGCGACGGGGGGACCCCAAGUGCCGUGGUACAACCACGGCUUUUCCGGAGUGUAAGAAGCUCCGGGAAUAAGGGCUGGGCAAGGCCGGUGGCAGCCGCCGCGGUAAUACCGGCGGCCCGAGUGGUGGCCGCUAUUAUUGGGCCUAAAGCGUCCGUAGCCGGGCCCGUAAGUCCCUGGCGAAAUCCCACGGCUCAACCGUGGGGCUUGCUGGGGAUACUGCGGGCCUUGGGACCGGGAGAGGCCGGGGGUACCCCUGGGGUAGGGGUGAAAUCCUAUAAUCCCAGGGGGACCGCCAGUGGCGAAGGCGCCCGGCUGGAACGGGUCCGACGGUGAGGGACGAAGGCCAGGGGAGCGAACCGGAUUAGAUACCCGGGUAGUCCUGGCUGUAAAGGAUGCGGGCUAGGUGUCGGGCGAGCUUCGAGCUCGCCCGGUGCCGAAGGGAAGCCGUU
This 655-nucleotide ribosomal RNA is filed under the name uncultured archaeon. RNAcentral's name for it is "bacterial SSU rRNA". It matches the Rfam family "Archaeal small subunit ribosomal RNA", at positions 163 to 816 of the family's 1478-position model. The record is from RNAcentral.